RNAcentral lists this ribosomal RNA (468 nucleotides) under uncultured bacterium. Its description in RNAcentral is "partial 16S ribosomal RNA". It matches the Rfam family "Bacterial small subunit ribosomal RNA", at positions 28 to 507 of the family's 1533-position model. The record is from RNAcentral.
GACGAACGCUGGCGGCGUGCUUAACACAUGCCAGUCGAACGGAAAGGCCCUGCUUUUGUGGGGUGCUCGAGUGGCGCACGGGUGAGUAACACGUGAGUAACCUGCCCUUGACUUUGGGAUAACUUCAGGAAACUGGGGCUAUUACCGGAUAGGAGCUCCUGCUGCAUGGUGGGGGUUGGAAAGUUUCGGCGGUUGGGGCUGGAAUCGCGGCUUAUCCGCUUGUUGGUGGGGUAGGGGCUUACCAAGGCUUUGACGGGUAGCCGGCCUGGGAGGGUUACCGGCGACAUGGGGACUGAGAUACGGCCCAGACGCCUACGGGAGGCAGCAGUGGGGAAUAUUGCACAAUGGGCGGAAGCCUGAUGCGGCAACGCCGCGUGCGGGAUGACGGCCUUCGGGUUGUAAACCGCUUUCGCCUGUGACGAAGCGUGAGUGACGGUAAUGGGUAAAGAAGCACCGGCUAACUACGUG